RNAcentral lists this ribosomal RNA (467 nucleotides) under uncultured bacterium. RNAcentral's name for it is "partial 16S ribosomal RNA". It matches the Rfam family "Bacterial small subunit ribosomal RNA", at positions 28 to 506 of the family's 1533-position model. The record is from RNAcentral.
GACGAACGCUGGCGGCGUGCUUAACACAUGCAAGUCGAACGGAAAGGCCCUGCUUUUGUGGGGUGCUCGAGUGGCGAACGGGUGAGUAACACGUGAGUAACCUGCCCUUGACUUUGGGAUAACUUCAGGAAACUGGGGCUAAUACCGGAUAGGAGCUCCUGCUGCAUGGUGGGGGUUGGAAAGUUUCGGCGGUUGGGGAUGGACUCGCGGCUUAUCAGCUUGUUGGUGGGGUAGUGGCUUACCAAGGCUUUGACGGGUAGCCGGCCUGAGAGGGUGACCGGCCAAAUUGGGACUGGGAUACGGCCCAGACUCCUCCGGGGGGCAGCGGGGGGGAAUAUUGCACAAUGGGCGGAAGCCUGAUGCAGCAACGCCGGGGGGGGGAUGACGGCCUUCGGGUUGUAAACCGCUUUCGCCUGGGACGAAGGGGGAGUGACGGGAAUGGGUAAAGAAGCACCGGCUAACUACGU